CCUACGGGUGACAGCAGUGGGGGAUCUUGCACAAUGGGGGGAACCCUGAUGCAGCGACGCCGCGUGGGUGAAGAAGCGCCUCGGCGCGUAAAGCCCUGUCAGCAGUGAAGAAAAUGACGGUACCUGACGAAGAAGCCUCGGCUAACUACGUGCCAGCAGCCGCGGGAAUACGUAGGGGGAAAGCGGGAGCCGGACUUACUGGGUGUAAAGGGGGCGCAGACGGCGAUGCAAGCCAGGAGUGAAAGCCCGGGGCCCAACCCCGGGACUGCUCUUGGAACUGCGUGGCUGGAGUGCAGGAGGGGCAGGCGGAAUUCCAGGUGUAGCGGUGAAAUGCGUAGAUAUCAGGAGGAACACCGGUGGCGAAGGCGGCCUGCUGGACUGCAACUGACGUUGAGGCCCGAAAGCGUGGGGAGCAAACAGGAUUAGAUACCCCUGUAGUC
This 440-nucleotide ribosomal RNA is filed under the name uncultured bacterium. RNAcentral's name for it is "partial 16S ribosomal RNA". It matches the Rfam family "Bacterial small subunit ribosomal RNA", at positions 338 to 795 of the family's 1533-position model. The record is from RNAcentral.